UACGCUAACUGAUUUUCUGUGAACCGAACCACGUUCAGUAGUCUACCUUUUUGCCUUUUUGUGGAAACCAAACUUUCUAUGAGUCGUGCAUUUGGGUCUUCAUCUAUUGGGUCAGACACUUGUCACGCCAGACUUCCUAAAUCAAUCUGGAUAUGUGGAUAUUUAUAUAUACAGAUCUGGUGGGCAGUCUGGCCUUUGCAUUUCCCAAAAUGUUGAACCAAGCCUUUAAACUGGAAACUGUCUGCAUGGCUCCAUAUCUUUAGCACUGAAGAUGUGUGGGAGAGUGUUCGAGUGGAUUUGUAACAGACUCCUGGUGUCUUCAUUGGCAAGCCCAGCAUGGUGGAUCUCCAAGAUGAAAGCCUGACAGCCUGAGUCAGUCUGCUCUGCGUCUUCAGCAGGUGGGCACGCUGCCCAGUGCUCAGUAAGCGAAUUAGCUUUUCCUGCAGAGGAGGAGGAGGAGGAGGAGGAGGAGGAGGAGGAGGGCUGGCUCGGUGAUGAAUGCCCUCACUUCUCUGCGUUUCAAAAGUACAGUUUAUCCAUGAGGAAUGGAGCAGCUUGUACAUGGGCUGAGGGGAAAUUGCCUUUUCCUUUGACCUGCAGCCAAGGGUGAGGAAGUGAAUGGAAAGCGAUAUGAGCGUGUCUGCCCUCCGAGGUGAUGAAUACGGUGCAAAUUAGGGGAAGGGGCCUUUCAAUCUCCAGCGCUUUGGCUUUUCCCCAUUCUUACAGCUCUAAAUUGUUUUCUGUCUUCUUGCUCCACAGCCCAUUCCUGCCUCCCUCAUAUUUUCCUUAAUCUUUCUUUCCUUUCUUUUCCUCCAUUUUUAUAUCUUCUCCACCCCCUCCUCGCGGUGGGGUUCUGGGGGUGUGCGGGUUGACAGGUUGAGCUCUGGGAGGUCGAGAGGGCAAGGGCAGCAUUUGCAGAUUGUGGGACAGAAAGCUGAGGCAGCACGGCCUUCAGUGAGAACGCAGCGUGCAGCAGGAAUCGAGAGGCCACGCGGAGUCACGGAGAAGUGUGACCUUGAGCCGCGAGCAGAGGAAAAAAAAAAAAAAAUCAACACAAAUCCAUCGAGCCCGGACGUUGGGCUCGCAGGCCUCGGUGCCCCGCGUAUGUGUGCACUCGUUGGCAUAUGGUGUUUUGCUCAGAAUGGAUUAGACGGAGCCCCCUCAUGAAUUAUUGUGAAAGCCCAGGAUAUUGCGGUGCACCACUGAGAGAUAAACAAAUUAGUGUUUUUAUCAUGUCUGCCUUUAAUUGAUAUUCAUGAAUGCAGGAUUUCAUAUGCAACAAAAGCUCUGGUCCAAUGCUAAAGAUUUAAAUUCUGAUUAUUAAUUACUGUUAUAAAAAAUCUGUCUCGUA
Acanthopagrus latus (yellowfin seabream) is the source of this 1351-nucleotide long non-coding RNA. RefSeq lists it as uncharacterized. Lineage: Eukaryota; Metazoa; Chordata; Actinopteri; Spariformes; Sparidae. The record is from RefSeq and is a predicted model, not a curated record. The transcript is spliced from 3 exons.